Molecule: unclassified non-coding RNA, 345 nt
Filed under: soil metagenome
Description: partial contains 5.8S ribosomal RNA, internal transcribed spacer 2, and large subunit ribosomal RNA
Rfam family: 5.8S ribosomal RNA (bases 1-119)
Source: RNAcentral
GAUGAAGAACGCAGCGAAAUGCGAUACGUAAUGUGAAUUGCAAAUUCAGUGAAUCAUCGAGUCUUUGAACGCACAUUGCGCCCCCUGGUAUUCCGGGGGGCAUGCCUGUCCGAGCGUCAUUGCUACCCUCAAGCACGGCUUGUGUGUUGGGCCCCGUCCUCCGAUCCCGGGGGACGGGCCCGAAAGGCAGCGGCGGCACCGCGUCCGGUCCUCGAGCGUAUGGGGCUUUGUCACCCGCUCUGUAGGCCCGGCCGGCGCUUGCCGAUCAACCCAAAUUUUUAUCCAGGUUGACCUCGGAUCAGGUAGGGAUACCCGCUGAACUUAAGCAUAUCAAUAAGCGGAGGA